This 406-nucleotide ribosomal RNA is filed under the name uncultured bacterium. Its description in RNAcentral is "partial 16S ribosomal RNA". It matches the Rfam family "Bacterial small subunit ribosomal RNA", at positions 30 to 526 of the family's 1533-position model. The record is from RNAcentral.
AUUGAACGCUGGCGGCAGGCCUAACACAUGCAAGUCGAACGAGUGGCGGACGGGUGAGUAAUGUCUGGGAAACUGCCCGAUGGAGGGGGAUAACUACUGGAAACGGUAGCUAAUACCGCAUACCAUCGGAUGUGCCCAGAUGGGAUUAGCUUGUAGGUGAGGUAACGGCUCACCUAGGCGACGCUCCCUAGCUGGUCUGAGAGGAUGACCAGCCAGUCUGUAAGGUGGACACGUGCCAGACUCCUAAGGGAGGCAGCAGUGGGGAAUAUUGCACAUUGGGCGCAAGCCUGAUGCAGCCAUGCCGCGUGUAUGAAGAAGGCCUUCGGGUUGUAAAGUACGUUCAGCGGGGAGGCGUUACCCGCAGAAGAAGCACCGGCUAACUCCGUGCAAGCAGCCGCGGUAAUUC